CAAUAGCGUAUAUUAAAGUUGUUGCAGUUAAAAGCUCGUAGUUGGAUUUGUGGCUGUCGCGUGCGGCCCUGACACUUUGUGUUAGUGUUUGCUUGCGUCGCCAUCCUUGGGUGGAACCUGUGUGGCAUUAGGUUGUCGUGCAGGGGAUGCCCAUCGUUUACUGUGAAAAAUUAGAGUGUUCAAAGCAGGCUUAUGCCGUUGAAUAUAUUAGCAUGGAAUAAUAAGAUAGGACCUUGGUACUAUUUUGUUGGUUUGCGCACCAAGGUAAUGAUUAAUAGGGACAGUUGGGGGGUAUUCGUAUUCCAUUGUCAGAGGUGAAAUUCUUGGAUUUUUUGGAAGACGAACUACUGCGAAAGCAUUUUACCAAGGGAUGUUUUCAUUAAUCAAGAACGAAAGUUAGGGGAUCGAAGAUGAUUAGAU
RNAcentral lists this ribosomal RNA (420 nucleotides) under uncultured eukaryote. Its description in RNAcentral is "SSU rRNA". It matches the Rfam family "Eukaryotic small subunit ribosomal RNA", at positions 592 to 1013 of the family's 1831-position model. The record is from RNAcentral.